UAAGGAAUAUUGGCCAAUGGACGCAAGUCUGAACCAGCCAUGCCGCGUGAAGGAUGAAGGUCCUCUGGAUUGUAAACUUCUUUUAUCUGGGACGAAAACGGGAUUUUUAUCUCAAUUGACGGUACCAGAGGAAUAAGCACCGGCUAACUCCGUGCCAGCAGCCGCGGUAAUACGGAGGGUGCGAGCGUUAUCCGGAUUUACUGGGUUUAAAGGGUGCGUAGGUGGGCUUAUAAGUCAGUGGUGAAAUCUCCGAGCUUAACUUGGAAACUGCCGUUGAUACUAUAGGUCUUGAAUUAUCUGGAGGUAAGCGGAAUAUGUCAUGUAGCGGUGAAAUGCUUAGAUAUGACAUAGAACACCAAUUGCGAAGGCAGCUUACUACAUAUAAAUUGACGCUGAGGCACGAAAGCGUGGGGAUCAAACA
RNAcentral lists this ribosomal RNA (421 nucleotides) under uncultured bacterium. RNAcentral describes it as "bacterial SSU rRNA". It matches the Rfam family "Bacterial small subunit ribosomal RNA", at positions 355 to 774 of the family's 1533-position model. The record is from RNAcentral.